RNAcentral lists this ribosomal RNA (374 nucleotides) under uncultured organism. Its description in RNAcentral is "partial 16S ribosomal RNA". It matches the Rfam family "Bacterial small subunit ribosomal RNA", at positions 527 to 896 of the family's 1533-position model. The record is from RNAcentral.
GUAGGUGGCAAGCGUUGUCCGGAACUAUUGGGCGUAAAGCGCGCGCAGGUGGUUCUUUAAGUCUGAUGUGAAAGCCCCCCGGGCUCAACCGGGGAGGGUCAUUGGAAACUGGGGAACUUGAGUGCAGGAGAGGAAAGUGGAAUUCCACGUGUAGCGGUGAAAUGCGUAGAUAUGUGGAGGAACACCAGUGGCGAAGGCGACUUUCUGGCCUGUAACUGACACUGAGGCGCGAAAGCGUGGGGAGCAAACAGGAUUAGAUACCCUGGUAGUCCACGCCGUAAACGAUGAGUGCUAAGUGUUGGGGGGUUUCCGCCCCUCAGUGCUGCAGCUAACGCAUUAAGCACUCCGCCUGGGGAGUACGGUCGCAAAGACUG